AAAAAAAAAAAAUGGGGUAAACUCUGAAUCUUUGGACUGCUACUGAGAAGAGGAUCCCCACUGACUCAGUCUCUCCGAUUGCUUUCGUGGUGGACUCGAUUCGUGAUUCCUGGAAUUUUAUCUCCGAGGCACUGUCACUUAAUGGCGUCAUCUGAAACUAAAAGCUACGCAAGGAGAGAUCGUCUUCUUGAAAUUGAGGUAGCAGUUCGAAAAUGGUGGGAAGAUGAGGAAGUAUUCAAACUCUGAAUCUCGUGAGAAUCUUCCUAAGCCAGAAGAAAAGUUCUUCUCCACUUUUUCUUUCCCUUGUAUGAAUGGUUAUCUACACACUGGCCAUGCCUUCUCACUCUCUAAGGUUGAUUUUGCUUCUGCUUACCAUAGACUAAGAGAUGCCAAUGUGCUUCUUCCUUUUGGUUUCCACUGUACUGGUAUGCCAAUUAAGGCUUCUGCGGAUAAGCUUUCUCUUGAGAUUCAACAGUUUGGUAACCCUCCUGUGUUCUCUGCUCAAGAUGAUACCAUCAAGCAAGCUCCUGAAACUCAGGAGGAGAGUUGUGAUAUGCUGAUAAAGUGUUUGAAAAUGACAUGAACAUUGCUAUCAGAUUGACUGAAAAACCGUACAAAGAUUGUUUGUUUAGGGAGGCACUUAAGAAUGGGUUUUACGACUUACAAGCUGCACGAGAUGAGUAUGGACUCUCUUGUGGCAGUGGCGGUAUGAACCAUGAUUUGAUACUGCACUUCAUGGAUGUGCAAACACACCUCAUUGAACCAAUCCGUCCCCAGUUUGCAGAAUAUGUAUGGAGGAAACUUUUUAAGAAGGAAGGUUGUGUGGUAACAGCAGGCUGGCCUACAUCAGAUGAGCCAGAUUUGGUUCUCAAGAGUGCUAACAAAUAUUUGCAAGAUUCUAUAGUCUUAAUGAGAAAGCUUCUACAAAAACAGCUCUUAGGUUCCAAGAAGGCUGCUAAGAAAGCUGCUCAAGUUACAGCAGUGCCAGAGGGGAUGUUAAAAGGCCUCAUAUAUUUGAAUGAGCAGCUCGAUGGAUGGAGAGCUCACUGCCUCAAGAUUCUGCCAAAGCAAAUUUGUCCAACAAACCUGUCGUUUUGCCCCUGAUGCAGAGAUACUUGCAGAACGAAGGGAGAUAUUGCAGAAGGAGGGACAAUCAGAAAACUUUAAACAAAUUCAGAAGCUUUGCAUGCCUUUCCUUAAAUUUAAGAAGGACGAGGCAAUAUCUAUUGGCCCUCAGGCUCUAAAGUUGAGGUUGCCUUUUGGAGAGAUUGAAGUCCUUCAGAGUAACAUGGACUUGAUCAAGCAGCAAGAGGUUGAAAUAUAUUCUGCAAGUGAAGUGACCCUGAUGAUGUUUCAAAAGCUGGUCCACAUGCUUCACUGCUGACGCAGAAUCCUCCAUCUCCGCGCAAUCCAACUGCCAUCUUUGUGACCAGCACAAAUGUCUCCCCUCCAGUCUAAAAGUUCUACGGAAUCAUCUCUCUCUGCAUAUCUUCGUUUUGAAAUUUUUACAGUGGGAUAAUGUUUAGUUUAUAAUCUUAUUUCUCGGAAGGAGUUUCCAGCAUCCUCGUCACUUACAGCUUCCAAUUCCAAGAUAUGUGAUCGAUUUAUCAACCGCAAACUCGUGCAAAAAUUGUAUGACAGAAUGCUUACUAUCGGUCUACAAGGCACCAUUCCAUCAUUUCUCGUAUAGCCGAUUGGGAAGGCAUUAAGAAGUCACGUUCAGUUCGAGAGUUUGACAACUACGCCACCAGACUUGUUGCCAAAUUCGAUGUGCAGUUUGUUUCAUAUUCUCUUUACCCUUUGUUUAUAUAUCCCCUCUUUCAGUAGAAAAUCCAAUCUUUAAUGAUGCAGACAACUGAUACAUACUAUAGACGUUCAAGCAGUGCGCAAUAUGUGGGAAAUGUCUCUGUUCCACUCCUUUGUACCAGUGCUUUGGACGAUCCAGUUUGUAAUAGGGAAGCUAUUCCUUGGGAUGAAUGUAGGGCAAACAAAACAUAGUUCUGGCAACCACAGCGUCAACACGCCGAACAGGGCCAUUGUAUUGGAAGCACCUGAGAAACAUUCAAACGAGGGAGACAAGAAUGAAGAAUCAAUAAGACCUGUAAAAAGAAAAUUAAUGGCUUGGUGAAAUGAAACUAACCA
Arabidopsis lyrata subsp. lyrata is the source of this 2142-nucleotide long non-coding RNA. RefSeq lists it as uncharacterized. The transcript has 9 exons. The record is from RefSeq and is a predicted model, not a curated record. NCBI's taxonomy places the organism in Eukaryota, Viridiplantae, Streptophyta, Magnoliopsida, Brassicales, Brassicaceae.